This 633-nucleotide ribosomal RNA is filed under the name uncultured bacterium. Its description in RNAcentral is "bacterial SSU rRNA". It matches the Rfam family "Bacterial small subunit ribosomal RNA", at positions 9 to 687 of the family's 1533-position model. The record is from RNAcentral.
GAGUUUGAUCCUGGCUCAGAACGUACGCUGGCGGCACGCCUAACACAUGCAAGUCGAACGAAGUAGCAAUACUUAGUGGCAGACGGGUGAGUAACAUGUGGGUAUCUGCCCUUUGGCCUGGAAUAACACGAGGAAACUUGUGCUAAUACCGGAUAAGUCUUUACGGAGAAAGCUUUAUGCACCAUUGGAUGAGCCCGCACUUGAUUAGUUAGUUGGUAGGGUAAUGGCCUACCAAGACUGUGAUCAAUAGCUGAUUUGAGAGGAUGAUCAGCCACAUUGGGACUGAGACACGGCCCAAACUCCUACGGGAGGCAGCAGUGGGGAAUCUUGCACAAUGGAGGAAACUCUGAUGCAGCGAUGCCGCGUGAGUGAAGAAGGCCUUUGGGUUGUAAAGCUCUUUCGUCGGGGAAGAAAAUGACUGUACCCGAAUAAGAAGGUCCGGCUAACUUCGUGCCAGCAGCCGCGGUAAUACGAAGGGACCUAGCGUAGUUCGGAAUUACUGGGCUUAAAGAGUUCGUAGGUGGUUGAAAAAGUUGGUGGUGAGAUCCCAGAGCUUAACUCUGGAACUGCCAUCAAAACUUUUCAGCUAGAGUAUGAUAGAGGAAAGCAGAAUUUCUAGUGUAGAGGUGAAAU